GGUUGAUCCUGCCAGUAGUCAUAUGCUUGUCUCAAAGAUUAAGCCAUGCAUGUCUAAGUCCAAGCUGUGUUCACACGGCGAGACCGCGGACGGCUCAUUAAAUCAGUCGUGGUCCAAAUGGGCCAGUGCAAAUCCUACUUGGAUAACUGUGGUAAUUCCAGAGCUAAUACAUGCAACUGAUAUCCCGAAGGCGGUGUCGGGGCUUGCUUGUCUUGCCCUGCCUGCUCUGACGGAUGCUUUUAUUAGACCAAGCCGCUGAGGACUUGAGGGUUCGCGCUCUCUUGUUUGACUCGUGUGAUGGUGACUCUGGAUAACCAAAUUCUGACAAGCGCACGUACUUCUCUUCUGAGCGAGACGGCGCUGCCACUUUCGAGUGUCUGCCUUAUCAGCUAUCAACCGUUCGUUAUGCGCGACCGAUGGCUUUGACGGGUAACGGGGAAUCAGGGUUCGAUUCCGGAGAGGCAGCCUGAGAGACGGCUACCACGUCCAAGGACGGCAGCAGGCACGCAAAUUACCCAAUCCCAGCAAAUGGGGGAGGUAGUGACGAAAUCUAACGAUGCGGGCGCCCUUUCUGGGGCCCCGCAAUCGGAAUGGGCACUUUCUAAACAACCUGUUGAGAACCUACUGAAGGGCAAGUCUGGUGCCAGCAGCCGCGGUAAUUCCAGCUUCAGCAGCAUCUAUUAAAGUUGCUGCRGUUAAAARGCUCGYAGUUGAAUGUCUGUAUCGAGCGCAGGUCAGGUGGACGUU
RNAcentral lists this ribosomal RNA (747 nucleotides) under Eulimnogammarus verrucosus. Its description in RNAcentral is "bacterial SSU rRNA". It matches the Rfam family "Eukaryotic small subunit ribosomal RNA", at positions 6 to 672 of the family's 1831-position model. Lineage: Eukaryota; Metazoa; Arthropoda; Malacostraca; Amphipoda; Eulimnogammaridae. The record is from RNAcentral.